UGGGGAAUAUUGGACAAUGGGCGAAAGCCUGAUCCAGCAAUGCCGCGUGUGUGAAGAAGGCCUUCGGGUUGUAAAGCACUUUAGGCAGGGAAGAAAAAAUCGGCGUGAAUAUCGCCGGUCUUGACGGUACCUGAAGAAUAAGCACCGGCUAACUCUGUGCCAGCAGCCGCGGUAAUACAGAGGGUGCUAGCGUUAAUCGGAUUUACUGGGCGUAAAGCGUGUGUAGGUGGUUAAACAAGUCGGUUGUGAAAUCCCCGGGCUCAACCUGGGAAUUGCUUCCGAUACUGUUUGACUCGAAUUCGGUAGAGGGUGGCGGAACUCCAGGUGUAGCGGUGAAAUGCGUAGAUAUCUGGAAGAACAUCAAUGGCGAAGGCAGCCACCUGGGCCUGAAUUGACACUG
RNAcentral lists this ribosomal RNA (400 nucleotides) under uncultured bacterium. RNAcentral's name for it is "bacterial SSU rRNA". It matches the Rfam family "Bacterial small subunit ribosomal RNA", at positions 355 to 748 of the family's 1533-position model. The record is from RNAcentral.